Molecule: ribosomal RNA, 851 nt
Filed under: uncultured bacterium
Lineage: Bacteria
Description: bacterial SSU rRNA
Rfam family: Bacterial small subunit ribosomal RNA
Source: RNAcentral
AGAGUUUGAUCAUGGCUCAGGAUGAACGCUAGCGACAGGCUUAACACAUGCAAGUCGAGGGGCAGCACAAUGUAGCAAUACACGGGUGGCGACCGGCGCACGGGUGAGUAACGCGUAUGCAACUUGCCUAUCAGAGGGGGAUAACCCGUCGAAAGACGGACUAAUACCGCAUGAAACAGGGGCCCCGCAUGGGGAUAUUUGUUAAAGAUACAUCGCUGAUAGAUAGGCAUGCGUUCCAUUAGGUAGUUGGCGGGGCAACGGCCCACCAAGCCGACGAUGGAUAGGGGUUCUGAGAGGAAGGUCCCCCACACUGGUACUGAGACACGGACCAGACCCCUACGGGAGGCAGCAGUGAGGAAUAUUGGUCAAUGGGCGAGAGCCUGAACCAGCCAAGUCGCGUGAGGGAUGACGGCCCUACGGGUUGUAAACCUCUUUUAUAAGGGAAUAAAGGACAUCACGUGUGGUGUUUUGCAUGUACCUUAUGAAUAAGCAUCGGCUAACUCCGUGCCAGCAGCCGCGGUAAUACGGAGGAUGCGAGCGUUAUCCGGAUUCAUUGGGUUUAAAGGGUGCGUAGGUUGCCGAUUAAGUCAGCGGUGAAAGUCAGUGGCUCAACCAUUGAGCUGCCGUUGAAACUGGUUGGCUUGAGUACGUACGGGGCAGGCGGAAUGCGUGGUGUAGCGGUGAAAUGCAUAGAUAUCACGCAGAACCCCGAUCGCGAAGGCAGCCUGCCAGGCCGUGACUGACACUGAUGCACGAAAGCGUGGGUAUCGAACAGGAUUAGAUACCCUGGUGGUCCACGCAGUAAACGAUGAUCACUAGCUGUUUGCGAUAGAAUGUAAGCGGCACAGCGA